CGGAGGGUGCAAGCGUUAUCCGGAUUUACUGGGUUUAAAGGGUGCGCAGGCGGAUAUGUAAGUCAGUGGUGAAAUCUUCCCGCUUAACGGGAAAACUGCCGUUGAUACUAUAUAUCUUGAAUGCCGUGGAGGUAAGCGGAAUAUGUCAUGUAGCGGUGAAAUGCUUAGAUAUGACAUAGAACACCUAUUGCGAAGGCAGCUUACUACACGGAGAUUGACGCUCAUGCACGAAAGCGUGGGGAUCAAACAGGAUUAGAUACCCUGGUAGUCCACGCCCUAAACGAUGAUUACUCGACAUACGCGAUAUACAGUGUGUGUCUGAGCGAAAGCAUUAAGUAAUCCACCUGGGAAGUACGAUCGCAAGAUUG
This 368-nucleotide ribosomal RNA is filed under the name uncultured organism. Its description in RNAcentral is "bacterial SSU rRNA". It matches the Rfam family "Bacterial small subunit ribosomal RNA", at positions 526 to 896 of the family's 1533-position model. The record is from RNAcentral.